This 504-nucleotide ribosomal RNA is filed under the name uncultured bacterium. RNAcentral's name for it is "partial 16S ribosomal RNA". It matches the Rfam family "Bacterial small subunit ribosomal RNA", at positions 28 to 523 of the family's 1533-position model. The record is from RNAcentral.
GAUAAACGCUAGCGGCAGGCUUAACACAUGCAAGUCGAGGGGCAGCAUAGAUUGUAGCAAUACAAUUGGUGGCGACCGGCGCACGGGUGCGUAACGCGUAUGCAACCUACCCGUCACAGGGGGAUAAUCCGGAGAAAUCUGGUCUAAUACCCCAUAACAUAUGGAUCGGCAUCGGUUCAUGUUGAAAUUUUCGGAGGUGACGGAUGGGCAUGCGUAGCAUUAGCUUGUUGGUGAGGUAACGGCUCACCAAGGCGGCGAUGCUUAGGGGGACUGAGAGGUUUUCCCCCCACACUGGUACUGAGACACGGACCAGACUCCUACGGGAGGUAGCAGUGAGGAAUAUUGGUCAAUGGGCGCAAGCCUGAACCAGCCAUGCCGCGUGCAGGAUGACGGCUCUAUGAGUUGUAAACUGCUUUUGUACGAGGGUAAAGUGGGUUACGUGUAACCUUUUGAAAGUAUCGUACGAAUAAGGAUCGGCUAACUCCGUGCCAGCCGCCGCGGUAA